GUUUAUAUAAAUAUUGAUGUAUUUCACUACAUAGGUGAUCGACAUAGGCCUCCGCGAGGACUAGCACGUGGCUUGCUAGGGAAUCCCCCCAGGCGCCGCUUAUAUGUCAUGUUGGGACUCAUAGGUAAUUAAUUUCAUAAUCCUAUAUAGUAUUACUAUAACAUAAGUAUUUAGUUCUUAUAUAUUCUUUGUAAUUUGCAAUGUAUUAAUUUCAAUUGUAGUAUCCUUGACACCACGCCAAGGAACACGUUGCUUGGGAUCGUCCGGAACCGAUUCUCAAGCCCGUGGAUGAGGUGGGUGGAUGUGGAUGACUGCACACGGCAGCUGAUUAUUGUUGAGUUUAGGGUAGGAUGUCAAUCAUUCAUAUGCUAGUUUUAUAUUCCAUUUGAAUAUACUGUUACCUCUUUGAUUUAUGUUGUCUACUAAGCUUCUUAAUGUGUAAUGUGCAGAGAUAUUAUCGUUUUGAGGACGGGCAGGAAGCCCAUGGCAUGACUGUUCUGCACAGAUACCUAGAGAUGAAUUGGCACAAGUGGGUCUAUGACUAGAAGAAGAAGGCCCAGACGAAG
Molecule: long non-coding RNA, 566 nt
Filed under: Panax ginseng (ginseng)
Lineage: Eukaryota; Viridiplantae; Streptophyta; Magnoliopsida; Apiales; Araliaceae
Description: long non-coding RNA (PGIN_LNC010260)
Source: RNAcentral